RNAcentral lists this ribosomal RNA (485 nucleotides) under uncultured Methanosaeta sp. RNAcentral describes it as "bacterial SSU rRNA". It matches the Rfam family "Archaeal small subunit ribosomal RNA", at positions 852 to 1338 of the family's 1478-position model. Lineage: Archaea; Methanobacteriati; Methanobacteriota; Methanomicrobia; Methanotrichales; Methanotrichaceae. The record is from RNAcentral.
AAACUUAAAGGAAUUGACGGGGAGCACCACAACGGGUGGAGCUUGCGGUUUAAUUGGAUUCAACGCCGGAAAUCUUACCGGGACCGACAGCAAUAUGAAGGCCAGGCUGAAGACUUUGCCGGAUUAGCUGAGAGGUGGUGCAUGGCCGUCGUCAGUUCGUACUGUGAAGCAUCCUGUUAAGUCAGGCAACGAGCGAGACCCACGCCCACAGUUGCCAGCGUACUCUCUGGAGUGACGGGUACACUGUGGGACCGCCGCUGCUAAAGCGGAGGAAGGAAUGGGCAACGGUAGGUCAGUAUGCCCCGAAUAUCCCGGGCUACACGCGAGCUACAAUGGUUGGUACAAUGGGUAUCUACCCCGAAAGGGGACGGGAAUCUCCUAAAACCAAUCUUAGUUCGGAUUGAGGGCUGCAACUCGCCCUCAUGAAGCUGGAAUCCGUAGUAAUCGCGUUUCAACAGAACGCGGUGAAUACGUCCCUGCUCCUU